UACGUAGGGGGCUAGCGUUGUCCGGAAUCAUUGGGCGUAAAGCGCGUGUAGGCGGCCCGAUAAGUCCGCUGUGAAAGUCCAGGGCUCAACCCUGGGAUGCCGGUGGAUACUGUCGGGCUCGAGUCCGGAAGAGGCGAGUGGAAUUCCUGGUGUAGCGGUGAAAUGCGCAGAUAUCAGGAAGAACACCCGUGGCUAAGGCGGCUCUCUAGUACGGUACUGACGCUGAGACGCGAAAGCGUGGGGAGCGAACAGG
This 253-nucleotide ribosomal RNA is filed under the name uncultured bacterium. RNAcentral's name for it is "partial 16S ribosomal RNA". It matches the Rfam family "Bacterial small subunit ribosomal RNA", at positions 524 to 776 of the family's 1533-position model. The record is from RNAcentral.